UUAGGUUUUCUUCAUUUUAUUCUGGGAUUUUUGUUGUUGAAGGUUGAUGGAGAUGAUAUGAAGAUGAAAAAGAGGAGAAG
This 80-nucleotide microRNA precursor is filed under the name Medicago truncatula (barrel medic). RNAcentral's name for it is "MIR5298 microRNA precursor family". It matches the Rfam family "MIR5298 microRNA precursor family". The record is from Rfam by way of RNAcentral. Lineage: Eukaryota; Viridiplantae; Streptophyta; Magnoliopsida; Fabales; Fabaceae.